GACGAACGCUGGCGGCGUGCUUAACACAUGCAAGUCGAACGGAAAGGCCCUGCUUUUGUGGGGUGCUCGAGUGGCGAACGGGUGAGUAACACGUGAGUAACCUGCCCUUGACUUUGGGAUAACUUCAGGAAACUGGGGCUAAUACCGGAUAGGAGCUCCUGCUGCAUGGUGGGGGUUGGAAAGUUUCGGCGGUUGGGGAUGGACUCGCGGCUUAUCAGCUUGUUGGUGGGGUAGUGGCUUACCAAGGCUUUGACGGGUAGCCGGCCUGAGAGGGUGACCGGCCACAUGGGGACUGAGAUACGGCCCAGACUCCUACGGGAGGCAGCAGUGGGGAAUAUUGCACAAUGGGCGGAAGCCUGAUGCAGCAACGCCGAGUGCGGGAUGACGGCCUUCGGGUUGUAAACCGCUUUCGCCUGUGACGAAGCGUGAGUGGCGGUAAUGGGUAAAGAAGCACCGGCUAACUACGUG
This 468-nucleotide ribosomal RNA is filed under the name uncultured bacterium. Its description in RNAcentral is "partial 16S ribosomal RNA". It matches the Rfam family "Bacterial small subunit ribosomal RNA", at positions 28 to 507 of the family's 1533-position model. The record is from RNAcentral.